RNAcentral lists this ribosomal RNA (457 nucleotides) under uncultured bacterium. RNAcentral's name for it is "bacterial SSU rRNA". It matches the Rfam family "Bacterial small subunit ribosomal RNA", at positions 30 to 507 of the family's 1533-position model. The record is from RNAcentral.
AUUGAACGCUGGCGGCAUGCCUUACACAUGCAAGUCGAACGGCAGCGGACCUUCGGGUGCCGGCGAGUGGCGAACGGGUGAGUAAUAUAUCGGAACGUACCUUUCAGUGGGGGAUAACGUAGCGAAAGUUACGCUAAUACCGCAUAUUCUGUGAGCAGGAAAGCAGGGGAUCGCAAGACCUUGCGCUGAUUGAGCGGCCGAUAUCAGAUUAGCUAGUUGGUGAGGUAAAGGCUCACCAAGGCGACGAUCUGUAGCGGGUCUGAGAGGAUGAUCCGCCACACUGGAACUGAGACACGGUCCAGACUCCUACGGGAGGCAGCAGUGGGGAAUCUUGCGCAAUGGGGGCAACCCUGACGCAGCCAUGCCGCGUGAAUGAUGAAGGCCUUAGGGUUGUAAAGUUCUUUUGCCCGUGACGAUGAUGACGGUAACGGGAGAAUAAGCUCCGGCUAACUUCGUG